CCGAAGGAAAGUCGCGGAAUCCAUAUCGCGGUCGCACACACACACACACACACACGCCACAAGGGCCCACUGUGAAGCGGGAUGAAGCUGCUGAAGUUCGUGAACAGCGACGCCCCGCACACGCUGGUGGAUGUGCAGCUGCGCAACCAACGCCUUUGGUUCCCAUGCAGAAACGGCAACGCGGCGGUGGCGGCGAAGAGCUGGACCCUCAAUGCCGCAUCACCCACAUCACUUUCCGGGGGCUACUGGCUUCUGGACGACGACGACAAGCCAAUCUGCGAGAUUACCGACGUGCUGCUCGCGCUGCCCGAGACGGCGGCCAACGCGGCCGGCAGCAGCGGCACCUUCGCCCCACGCGGGGUAACGGACAAGGACGUCGACGGCAUCGACUUCCGCAGCAAGAUGGGGCGGCAGAUGGAGCGGGAGCGCGCCACUUACGGUGCCACCUCGAAGACCGCGACCAAGUCAGCACGGACGAUGAUGAACGCCGAGGAGGUGACGGAGAAGAAGCACGAGCGCAUGAAGCGCGAGCGCGAGGCUGUUGCCGAAGCGAUAGAGGACAACGACGCGAGCGUGAUGGAGCCGCGCAAGAAGGAGAGGAAGCACUCGAAGAAGUAGCAACGGAGACCCACGUGCACGCAUCCACGGUCGGCAUGUGGCGUUGAGUCUGUGUGUGCUGUGUCCGCUCUUGUCUUCUGUGUGGCGCGGUGUACACACCUUUACAGGGCGGAGAGGGGCGAGAUGAAGCGGUGCAUGGUCGCUGGUGGCCGUAUCUGCUGUGGUGAUGUAUCUCUGUGUAACUCAUCUGGCUGAGGUGCUGCCGCUCUUCCUCGUCCUCCGCCUUCGCUAGCACUUCACGCCAACGCACCCACCCACCGCCGUCUGCACACACGCCCCCAUGCGCCUGAUGGCUUCGCUUAGCCGAGCGACGGAUGAGGGAGGGUAGAGCGGAGGACAAGAAAUGCAGCAGCGGAGGGGAAACGGUGGAGGAGAAGGUGGCCAUCACGCAUGUGGUUUGCGGGCUUGACUGUCCUCUCACCGCAAACGCAUCAGCCGCGUAAUGGUGGGGCUCGCGCAUCGUUACGCUACCCACGUGCUCCGUGCGCGACCCUCGCGCGCAUGCGCACGCGCAAGCUCAGUAGAAGUGGUGGAGAAACAAGGCUAGAGAGAGAGAGACAGUGCACAGUUGCAACGGCGACCAACCUCCACGUAAGAUUCGGUCAUCAUGGCGAGGCGUGCACGCCUGUCGGAUGCUCGCCGCAUGCGUCUGUGUAUGUGUGACUGCGGCGCCAUCACGCAAUUCGCGCCCACGCGUAAUACUGCACGCUUCUUCAUCGCACGUGCACACGCACACGCACGCGACAGUCGUCUGUAACGCAGCGACGAACUAUUUUUUUUAAGCCGCGUUUUCGCGCCACAUAAAAA
RNAcentral lists this unclassified non-coding RNA (1425 nucleotides) under Leishmania donovani. RNAcentral's name for it is "gene:LdHU3.03.0590(CDS-product:hypothetical_prote in_conserved)". The record is from RNAcentral. Lineage: Eukaryota; Euglenozoa; Kinetoplastea; Trypanosomatida; Trypanosomatidae.